This 467-nucleotide ribosomal RNA is filed under the name uncultured bacterium. RNAcentral describes it as "partial 16S ribosomal RNA". It matches the Rfam family "Bacterial small subunit ribosomal RNA", at positions 28 to 506 of the family's 1533-position model. The record is from RNAcentral.
GACGAACGCUGGCGGCGUGCUUAACACAUGCAAGUCGAACGGAAAGGCCCUGCUUUUGUGGGGUGCUCGAGUGGCGAACGGGUGAGUAACACGCGAGUAACCUGCCCUUGACUUUGGGAUAACUUCAGGAAACUGGGGCUAAUACCGGAUAGGAGCUCCUGCUGCAUGGUGGGGGUUGGAAAGUUUCGGCGGUUGGGGAUGGACUCGCGGCUUAUCAGCUUGUUGGUGGGGUAGUGGCUUACCAAGGCUUUGACGGGUAGCCGGCCUGAGAGGGUGACCGGCCACAUUGGGACUGAGAUACGGCCCAGACUCCUACGGGAGGCAGCAGUGGGGAAUAUUGCACAAUGGGCGGAAGCCUGAUGCAGCAACGCCGCGUGCGGGAUGACGGCCUUCGGGUUGUAAACCGCUUUCGCCUGUGACGAAGCGUGAGUGACGGUAAUGGGGAAAGAAGCACCGGCUAACUACGU